This 433-nucleotide ribosomal RNA is filed under the name uncultured bacterium. RNAcentral describes it as "partial 16S ribosomal RNA". It matches the Rfam family "Bacterial small subunit ribosomal RNA", at positions 29 to 507 of the family's 1533-position model. The record is from RNAcentral.
AAUGAACGCUGGCGGCAUGCCUAACACAUGCAAGUCGAACGAAGGCUUCGGCCUUAGUGGCGCACGGGUGCGUAACGCGUGGGAAUCUGCCCUUGGGUUCGGAAUAACAGUUAGAAAUGACUGCUAAUACCGGAUGAUGUCGUAAGACCAAAGAUGUAUCGCCCAAGGAUGAGGCCGCGUAGGAUUAGCUAGUUGGUGAGGUAAAGGCCCACCAAGGCGACGUUCCUUAGCUGGUCUGAGAGGAUGAUCAGCCACACUGGGACUGAGACACGGCCCAGACUCCUACGGAAGGCGGCAGUGGGGAACAUGGGACGCUGGGCGAGAGCCUGAUCCAGCCAUGCCGCGUAGGUGAUGAAGGCGUUAGGGUUGUAAAGCUGUUUGGACCGGGAUGAUAGUGACGGUACCGGGAGAAUAAGCGCCGGCUAACUUCGUG